GCAGGUGUGGUUUAGUGGCAAAACGAGUGCUUCCCAAGCAUUAGUCGGGAGUCCGAUUCUCCCCACCUGCA
This 71-nucleotide transfer RNA is filed under the name Parcubacteria group bacterium RIFCSPHIGHO2_01_FULL_45_26. RNAcentral describes it as "tRNA-Gly". It matches the Rfam family "tRNA". Rfam says of the family: Transfer RNA (tRNA) molecules are approximately 80 nucleotides in length. Their secondary structure includes four short double-helical elements and three loops (D, anti-codon, and T loops). Further hydrogen bonds mediate the characteristic L-shaped molecular structure. tRNAs have two regions of fundamental functional importance: the anti-codon, which is responsible for specific mRNA codon recognition, and the 3' end, to which the tRNAs corresponding amino acid is attached (by aminoacyl-tRNA synthetases). tRNAs cope with the degeneracy of the genetic code in two manners: having more than one tRNA (with a specific anti-codon) for a particular amino acid; and 'wobble' base-pairing, i.e. permitting non-standard base-pairing at the 3rd anti-codon position. The record is from RNAcentral.